CAAUAGCGUAUAUUAAAGUUGUUGCAGUUAAAAAGCUCGUAGUUGAAUUUCUAAUCGGAAUUUUUUUGGUUUAUAAUCAAUUAAUUUCGUUUAUCCGACAUUAAACUUUAUUGGGUAUUUAUUUAUCCAUAAAGCGAACUGUCAUUUUACUUUGAAAAAUUAAGAGUGUUUCAGGCAGGCAAUUGCCCGAAUAUCUUAGCAUGGAAUAAUGGAAUAGGACUUUGGUUCAUUUUAUUGGUUAUUGAAUCAGAGUAAUGAUUAAUAGGGACAGUUGGGGGCGAUUCGUACUCAGCAGUCAGAGGUGAAAUUCUUAGAUUUGCUGAAGACGCACUAAUGCGAAAGCAUUUGCCAAGGAUGUUUUCAUUAAUCAAGAACGAAAGUUAGGGGAUCAAAGAUGAUCAGAUACCGU
RNAcentral lists this ribosomal RNA (409 nucleotides) under uncultured eukaryote. Its description in RNAcentral is "bacterial SSU rRNA". It matches the Rfam family "Eukaryotic small subunit ribosomal RNA", at positions 592 to 1018 of the family's 1831-position model. The record is from RNAcentral.